GGAGAGUUAUCCUAAUUUGAUAAGGAAGUAGUCUACUAAACUACCGCCAAUACGGCUUAUAGGUUCGAAUCCUAUACUCUCCG
RNAcentral lists this transfer RNA (83 nucleotides) under Fusobacterium phage phiPaco. RNAcentral's name for it is "tRNA-Ser". It matches the Rfam family "tRNA". Rfam says of the family: Transfer RNA (tRNA) molecules are approximately 80 nucleotides in length. The record is from RNAcentral.